AAGCGUUAAUCCAAAGUUCUGUGACCAGAAAGGCAGUUCUUUGGGGAGCUUUAUAAAGGUUCUGCGUUUACCAAGAGCUGGUCUUAAGUCAUCUUGAAUGACCGAAAGAAAAUGCUGAAA
This 120-nucleotide non-coding RNA is filed under the name unclassified sequences. RNAcentral's name for it is "drum RNA". It matches the Rfam family "drum RNA". From Rfam's summary of the family: Firmicutes, Bacteroidetes (1 example), Proteobacteria (2 examples), Spirochaetes (2 examples). Terminator (Clostridia) The record is from Rfam by way of RNAcentral.